UAGGGAAUCUUCCACAAUGGGCGGAAAGCCUGAUGGAGCAACGCCGCGUGAGUGAAGAAGGUUUUCGGAUCGUAAAGCUCUGUUGUUGGUGAAGAAGGAUAGAGGUAGUAACUGGCCCCUAUUUGACGGUAAUCAACCAGAAAGUCACGGCUAACUACGUGCCAGCAGCUGCGGUAAUAUCUCUGU
This 186-nucleotide ribosomal RNA is filed under the name uncultured bacterium. Its description in RNAcentral is "partial 16S ribosomal RNA". It matches the Rfam family "Bacterial small subunit ribosomal RNA", at positions 355 to 532 of the family's 1533-position model. The record is from RNAcentral.